UGGUCUCCCAAAAGGAGAGAAGGUUAGCACUCCCCAUGACAAGGAUGGGAGAGGUCUUUGGGCCUAACAACAGGGUUAAGACAUUACCACCUACUCUCCAGUGUUUCUAAAGGUAGUGGUAGAAGAUUGAGAAGUUUC
This is a small nuclear RNA of Cricetulus griseus (Chinese hamster), 138 nucleotides long. The record is from Ensembl. Lineage: Eukaryota; Metazoa; Chordata; Mammalia; Rodentia; Cricetidae.